AAGAACAGAGAGAGAGAGAGAGAGAGUCUAAAAAGUAGACUGAGCAGAACUUGAACGAUGCCUUUGAACGAUCUGAUGGAGAGUCUACUAAGUAGACUGGGCAGAACUUGACCCGCUAAUGACUUUGAACGAUCUGAUGGAGAGUCUACUAAGUAGACUGGGCAGAAAAUGACCCGCUGAUGACUUUGAACGAUCUGAUGCAGAGUCUACUAUGUAGACUGAGCAGAACUUGAACGAUGCCUUUGAACGAUCUGUCCCUGCGCUUCGCGGGGAUGCGUCCUGGCGUGACCACCCUGGUGGCGGCACGUCGGCGGCGCGCCUCGUUGAUAAAAGGGGACAGGACCUGUCCGAUGAUUAUGCCAGUCGGCAAACCAACUCACAACCCUGAACGGUGGAUCACUCGGCUCGUGGGUCGAUGAAGAACGCAGCAAAUUGCGCGUCGACAUGUGAACUGCAGGACACAUGAACAUCGACGUUUCGAACGCACAUUGCGGUCCUUGGAUUUCCAAUCCCGGACCACGCCUGGCUGAGGGUCGGCCUACUGAAACCACUGGGCCCGCCGCGUGAUGCGAGGUGGGCCCGAAGUUGAGGGCACGCGCGCGCUCUUGUAGCCGCACGACGCUCUUUAAGAACGAGACGGCGCCGCCGCGGACAGACGCGCCCUCCGGCGCCCGGCUUGAUACUGGGAGAAAUCCCGCACACUUGAACGAGAGCCGGGAGCGAAAAGUGCAGAUCUCUGCAGACGAGGGCAAGGGCGACUGCUCCGCGAGCGGCGGAACUUUUUCCGACCUCAGAUCAGGCGAGACUACCC
This 811-nucleotide ribosomal RNA is filed under the name Nasutitermes parvonasutus. RNAcentral describes it as "eukaryotic LSU rRNA". The stretch from base 381 to 536 matches the Rfam family "5.8S ribosomal RNA". Lineage: Eukaryota; Metazoa; Arthropoda; Insecta; Blattodea; Termitidae. The record is from RNAcentral.